ACCUGGCUGGCUCAAUUAGUAGAGUGUGUGACUCUUGAUUGCGGGGUUGUGAGUUCAAGCCCCACGUUGGGUG
RNAcentral lists this transfer RNA (73 nucleotides) under Felis catus (domestic cat). It matches the Rfam family "tRNA". Rfam says of the family: Transfer RNA (tRNA) molecules are approximately 80 nucleotides in length. Their secondary structure includes four short double-helical elements and three loops (D, anti-codon, and T loops). Lineage: Eukaryota; Metazoa; Chordata; Mammalia; Carnivora; Felidae. The record is from Rfam by way of RNAcentral. RNAcentral also lists the same sequence under 3 other names.